RNAcentral lists this ribosomal RNA (485 nucleotides) under uncultured bacterium. RNAcentral describes it as "partial 16S ribosomal RNA". It matches the Rfam family "Bacterial small subunit ribosomal RNA", at positions 29 to 506 of the family's 1533-position model. The record is from RNAcentral.
AUUGAACGCUGGCGGCAUGCCUUACACAUGCAAGUCGAACGGCAGCACGGGUGCUUGCACCUGGUGGCGAGUGGCGAACGGGUGAGUAAUACAUCGGAACAUGUCCUGUAGUGGGGGAUAGCCCGGCGAAAGCCGGAUUAAUACCGCAUACGAUCUACGGAUGAAAGCGGGGGACCUUCGGGCCUCGCGCUAUAGGGUUGGCCGAUGGCUGAUUAGCUAGUUGGUGGGGAAAAGGCCUACCAAGGCGACGAUCAGUAGCUGGUCGGAGAGGACGACCAGCCCCCCGGGGACUGAGACACGGCCCAGCCUCCUACGGGGGGCCGCGGGGGGAAAUUUUGGACAAGGGGCGAAAGCCUGAUCCAGCAAUCCCGCGUGGGUAAAGAAGGCCCUCGGGUUGUAAAGCACUUUUUCCCGGAAAAAAAUCCUUGGCCCUAAUACGGUCGGGGGAUGCCGGUACCGGAAGAAUACGCCCCGGCUAACUACGU